GAACGUCGUGCGGGUUUUCGGACCUGCACGGAGUGACGGACGGGUGAGUAACACAUGGGUGACCUACCCCUUGGGUGAGGGAUACCGGCGAGAAAUCGCCGACAAGCCCGCAUAGGCUCGCUCUGGUGGAGCGGAGCGAGCAAAGUUUCUCUUGUGAAAGCGAGGGAGACGCCAGGGGAUGGGCCUGUGGCCGAUUAGCUAGUUGGUGGGGUAAGAGCCUACCAAGGCUGCGAUCGGUAGCUGGUCUGAGAGGACGAACAGCCACACUGGGAUUGAGAACGGCCCAGACUCCUACGGGGGGCAGCAGUGAGGAAUUUUCCGCAAUGGGCGAGGAGCCUGACGGAGCAACGCCGCGUGCAGGAGGACGCUUUUCGGAGUGUAAACUGCUUUUCUGUGGGACGAGGAUGGACGGUACCACAGGAAGAAGCCCCGGCUAACUACGUG
This 444-nucleotide ribosomal RNA is filed under the name uncultured bacterium. RNAcentral describes it as "bacterial SSU rRNA". It matches the Rfam family "Bacterial small subunit ribosomal RNA", at positions 64 to 507 of the family's 1533-position model. The record is from RNAcentral.